Molecule: long non-coding RNA, 545 nt
Organism: Arabidopsis lyrata subsp. lyrata
Lineage: Eukaryota; Viridiplantae; Streptophyta; Magnoliopsida; Brassicales; Brassicaceae
Exons: 4
Source: RefSeq, a predicted model, not a curated record
AUAAAUCUUAGAGAUUAUAUAAUUAAAAUUAAAUGGAAAAUGAGAGUUAAACUUAAGGAACCUUCCUUAGAUAAGAAAUGUUUAUUCACCUAAGAGACGGACCGGUGUCGUUCACAGAAUGGGGCUUGGUAAAACACGAGGAAGGAAAAAAAUUGUUUCGCGUUUUUCUCUCUCUCUUUUUUCUCUGUGACUGAGAAACCAAAGAGAAAUCUUCUCAGUCUCAAAUCUUCGUCUCCUCCGUUGAUUGUUUAAGUUGGUGAUCGGAGGAUGGCAUCUUCAUCAUCUCAACGGAUGGCGGCUCUUCUCAAUCCGAUUCGCUUCUCAGUUGAAUGCAGAGAUUGGAGAAUUUGAUGAAGCCUUUGCAAUUUGCAAGGGAUUAACCUUUUUUCCAAGAGGUAGAAGUAAACAUUGAAGAACUGAAUUUGGCACUAAAUAAUGAGCAGAUGGAUAAAGAGAUUUCCAAAGCAAAGUUUGACCUUGUGCAAACUGUCCAAGAAAAUGCAAACGUUCGUCACAAAUUGUUCAAUCCCUGGGAGCUUUAGAAG